Molecule: long non-coding RNA, 207 nt
Organism: Neomonachus schauinslandi (Hawaiian monk seal)
Lineage: Eukaryota; Metazoa; Chordata; Mammalia; Carnivora; Phocidae
Exons: 3
Source: RefSeq, a predicted model, not a curated record
UUCAGAUCCUUGUCAUAAUUUCCCUUGCCUUGGUGGGCCCUUUUAUGAUGCAUGCAAGUCGCUGAGCUUCAAGCGGGAGCCCGGUGACACUCAGGGAAGCCCCCGCUGCAUUAGCCACGAAGCCUCAGCUCCAGAAGAACCCACAAGCAGUAAAGGAUGCAGGCUCCAUGCCCAGGAGCCCAAUGCAGGGCCUGACCCCACGACCCU